GAUGAACGCUGGCGGCGUGCCUAAUACAUGCAAGUCGAGCGAACAGAUGAGGAGCUUGCUCCUCUGACGUUAGCGGCGGACGGGUGAGUAACACGUGGAUAACCUACCUAUAAGACUGGGAUAACUUCGGGAAACCGGAGCUAAUACCGGAUAAUAUAUUGAACCGCAUGGUUCAAUAGUGAAAGACGGUUUUGCUGUCACUUAUAGAUGGAUCCGCGCCGCAUUAGCUCGUUGGUAAGGUAACGGCUUACCAAGGCAACGAUGCGUAGCCGACCUGAGAGGGGGAUCGCCCACACUGGAACUGAGACACGGUCCAGACUCCUACGGGAGGCAGCAGUAGGGAAUCUUCCGCAAUGGGCGAAAGACUGACGGAGCAACGCCGCGUGAGUGAUGAAGGUCUUCGGAUCGUAAAACUCGGUUAUUAGGGAAAAACAAAUGUGUAAGUAACUAUGCACGUAUUGACGGUACCUAAUCAGAAAGCCACGGCUAACUACGUG
Molecule: ribosomal RNA, 497 nt
Filed under: uncultured bacterium
Lineage: Bacteria
Description: partial 16S ribosomal RNA
Rfam family: Bacterial small subunit ribosomal RNA
Source: RNAcentral